This 261-nucleotide ribosomal RNA is filed under the name uncultured bacterium. RNAcentral's name for it is "partial 16S ribosomal RNA". It matches the Rfam family "Bacterial small subunit ribosomal RNA", at positions 793 to 1055 of the family's 1533-position model. The record is from RNAcentral.
GUCCACGCCCUAAACGAUGUCGACUGGUUGUUGGGUGGGUAACCACUUAGUAACGAAGCUAACGCGUGAAGUCGACCGCCUGGGGAGUACGGUCGCAAGAUUAAAACUCAAAGGAAUUGACGGGGACCCGCACAAGCGGUGGAUGAUGUGGUUUAAUUCGAUGCAACGCGAAAACCUUACCUACACUUGACAUGUCAGAAAUCCUGCAGAGAUGUGGGAGUGCCGCAAGGAAUCUGAACACAGGUGCUGCAUGGCUGUCGU